UACAGAGGUGGCAAGCGUUGUUCGGAAUUACUGGGCGUAAAGAGCGCGCAGGCGGUCGUUCAAGUCGAGUGUGAAAGCCCCCGGCUCAACUGGGGAGGGUCACUCGAUACUGAUCGACUUGAAGGCAGGAGAGGGAAGCGGAAUUCCCGGUGUAGCGGUGAAAUGCGCAGAUAUCAGGAGGAACACCGGUGGCGAAGGCGGGUCUCUGGGCCGAUACUGACGCUGAGGAGCGAAAGCGUGGGGAGCGAACAGG
This 253-nucleotide ribosomal RNA is filed under the name uncultured bacterium. RNAcentral describes it as "partial 16S ribosomal RNA". It matches the Rfam family "Bacterial small subunit ribosomal RNA", at positions 524 to 776 of the family's 1533-position model. The record is from RNAcentral.